Molecule: unclassified non-coding RNA, 275 nt
Filed under: Baylisascaris transfuga (bear roundworm)
Lineage: Eukaryota; Metazoa; Nematoda; Chromadorea; Rhabditida; Ascarididae
Description: partial ITS2
Source: RNAcentral
AUAUUGAAAGAAUUGCCAUUUAUGAAUUUUCAACAUGGCAUAUGCGAUAAGCUAUGAUGGUGGACGAAUGAAAGAAGUACUAUCGUACCUUCUUUAGCAUAUAUGAUGCAAUAACUCGUUGUCAUUUGCUCAAACGAGAUGAGAAGAGAGAAUAUAUGUAUCAAGAACUUAUCGCGGCUCUUAAAAGUCGAUUCCAGCGUGUAUUGUUAUGGAUCUAGCAAUAUGUCAUAGUUGGAAAAAAAAAAGUUAAGCGAUAAUGAUGUAUAUAAAAGUCU